CCUACGGGUGGCAGCAGUAGGGAAUUUUCGUCAAUGGGCGCAAGCCUGAACGAGCAAUGCCGCGUGAACGAGGAAGGUCUUCGGAUCGGAAAGUUCUGUUGAAGGGGAAAUAGCGCGGAGAGAGGAAAUGCUUUCUGAUUGCUAUUACCCUUCGAGGAAGUCCCGGCUAACUACGUCAUAGCAGCCGCGGUAAUACGUAGGUGGCGAGCGUUAUCCGUAAUGAUUGGGCGUAAAGGGGGCGUAGGCGGCCUGCUAAGUCUGGAGUGAAAGUUACCGGCUCAACCGGUACAGUGCCUGGGAACUGGCGAGCUAGGGGGAAGGAGGAGGCAGGUGAACUCCAUGGGGAGCGGGAAAAAGCGUAGGUAAAUGGGAGAAAAUCAGUGGGGAAGGCGGGCGCCUUGCCUGUUAACUGACGCUGAGGCACGAAAGCGUGGGGAGCAAAUAGGAUUAGAUACCCCAGUAGUC
RNAcentral lists this ribosomal RNA (465 nucleotides) under uncultured bacterium. RNAcentral describes it as "partial 16S ribosomal RNA". It matches the Rfam family "Bacterial small subunit ribosomal RNA", at positions 338 to 795 of the family's 1533-position model. The record is from RNAcentral.